CAGGCCUAAUACAUGCAAGUCGAGGGGCAGCGGGGUAGCAAUACUGCCGGCGACCGGCGCACGGGUGCGUAACACGUAUGCAACCUACCUUAAACUGGGGGAUAGCCCGGGGAAACUCGGAUUAAUACCCCAUAACACGGUGGAGCCUCAUGGCUCUAUCGUUAAAGAUUUAUCGGUUUAAGCUGGGCAUGCGUUCGAUUAGCUAGUUGGCGAGGUAACGGCUCACCAAGGCUACGAUCGAUAGGGGGUCUGAGAGGAUGAUCCCCCACACUGGUACUGAGACACGGUCCAGACUCCUACGGGAGGCAGCAGUGGGGAAUAUUGGACAAUGGGCGAAAGCCUGAUCCAGCCAUGCCGCGUGCAGGAAGAAGGCCCUCUGGGUUGUAAACUGCUUUUGACAGGGAACAAGAAGUCCAUGCGUGGAUUAGUGAGUGUACCUGUAGAAUAAGCCACGGCUAACUACGUGCCAGCAGCCGCGGUAAUACGUAGGUGGCAAGCGUUGUCCGGAUUUAUUGGGUUUAAAGGGUGCGUAGGCGGCUUGAUAAGUCAGUGGUGAAAGCCGAUCGCUUAACGAUCGAGCUGCCAUUGAUACUACCAGGCUUGAGUAUAGAUGAGGUAGGCGGAAUUGACAGUGUAGCGGUGAAAUGCAUAGAUAUGACAUAGAACACCAAUUGCGAAGGCAGCUUACUACGGGUGUAUUGACACUGAGGCACGAAAGCGUGGGGAUCAAACAGGAUUAGAUACCCUGGUAGUCCACGCCCUAAACGAUGGAUACUCGACAUCAGCGAUACACUGUUGGUGUCUGAGCGAAAGCAUUAAGUAUCCCACCUGGGAAGUACGACCGCAAGGUUG
This 852-nucleotide ribosomal RNA is filed under the name uncultured bacterium. RNAcentral describes it as "bacterial SSU rRNA". It matches the Rfam family "Bacterial small subunit ribosomal RNA", at positions 43 to 896 of the family's 1533-position model. The record is from RNAcentral.